RNAcentral lists this ribosomal RNA (265 nucleotides) under uncultured prokaryote. RNAcentral describes it as "partial 16S ribosomal RNA". It matches the Rfam family "Bacterial small subunit ribosomal RNA", at positions 524 to 788 of the family's 1533-position model. The record is from RNAcentral.
UACGGAGGAUGCGAGCGUUAUCCGGAAUCAUUGGGCGUAAAGAGCUCGUAGGCGGUUCAACAAGUCGGCUGUGAAAGUCCGGGGCUCAACCCCGGAUUGCAGUCGAUACUGUUGUGACUUGAGUCCGGUAGAGGAGAAUGGAAUUCCCGGUGUAGCGGUGGAAUGCGCAGAUAUCGGGAGGAACACCAGUAGCGAAGGCGGUUCUCUGGGCCGGCACUGACGCUGAGGAGCGAAAGCGUGGGGAGCAAACAGGAUUAGAUACCCU